AAUGUAUUACUGUAGUGGAUCAGUAAAAAGUGCUGAGCCAGAUCUAAAUGAUGCUACUGUCAAAGUAAAGUGUCCCGGCGUGGCUCUCGAUCCAGUCCCAGCCACUGUCGCAGUAGGUCCGGAUCUGCUCCAGCAUGUGCAGGACCCUCAUCUCCCGGCGGGCUUGGCCCUCAUCCUGCUGACCGCUGCCUCCGUCCGGGCCUUCAUGCAGAAUCUGGACCAGAAGGGGGACGCAGCCAGACUUUCUCAUGGCAAUGCAGCUGUCCUGAGAGCUGGAGAGAGC
Long non-coding RNA from Pelmatolapia mariae (spotted tilapia), 283 nucleotides. RefSeq lists it as uncharacterized. Lineage: Eukaryota; Metazoa; Chordata; Actinopteri; Cichliformes; Cichlidae. The transcript has 3 exons. The record is from RefSeq and is a predicted model, not a curated record.